Molecule: ribosomal RNA, 403 nt
Filed under: Fusobacteriota bacterium
Lineage: Bacteria; Fusobacteriati; Fusobacteriota
Description: Fusobacteria bacterium partial 16S ribosomal RNA
Rfam family: Bacterial small subunit ribosomal RNA
Source: RNAcentral
UGGGGAAUAUUGCACAAUGGAGGGAACUCUGAUGCAGCGACGCCGCGUGAACGAGGAAGGCUUUCGAGUCGUAAAGUUCUUUUAUAUGGGAAGAUAAUGACGGUACCAUAAGAAAAAGCCCCGGCUAACUACGUGCCAGCAGCCGCGGUAAUACGUAGGGGGCUAGCGUUGUCCGGAAUCACUGGGCGUAAAGGGUUCGCAGGCGGAAAUGCAAGUCAGGUGUAAAAGGCAGUAGCUUAACUACUGUAAGCAUUUGAAACUGCAUAUCUUGAGAAGAGUAGAGGUAAGUGGAAUUUUUAGUGUAGCGGUGAAAUGCGUAGAUAUUAAAAAGAAUACCGGUGGCGAAGGCGACUUACUGGGCUCAUUCUGACGCUGAGGAACGAAAGCGUGGGUAGCAAACAGG